Molecule: ribosomal RNA, 468 nt
Filed under: uncultured bacterium
Lineage: Bacteria
Description: partial 16S ribosomal RNA
Rfam family: Bacterial small subunit ribosomal RNA
Source: RNAcentral
GACGAACGCUGGCGGCGUGCUUAACACAUGCAAGUCGAACGGAAAGGCCCUGCUUUUGUGGGGUGCUCGAGUGGCGAACGGGUGAGUAACACGUGAGUAACCUGCCCUUGACUUUGGGAUAACUUCAGGAAACUGGGGCUAAUACCGGAUAGGAGCUCCUGCUGCAUGGUGGGGGUUGGAAAGUUUCGGCGGUUGGGGAUGGACUCGCGGCUUAUCAGCUUGUUGGUGGGGUAGUGGCUUACCAAGGCUUUGACGGGUAGCCGGCCUGAGAGGGUGACCGGCCACAUUGGGACUGAGAUGCGGCCCAGACUCCUACGGGAGGCGGCAGUGGGGAAUAUUGCACAAUGGGCGGAAGCCUGAUGCAGCAACGCCGCGUCGGGGAUGACGGCCUUCGGGUUGUAAACCGCUUUCGCUUGUGACGAAGCGUGAGUGACGGUAAUGGGUAAAGAAGCACCGGCUAACUACGUG